Molecule: ribosomal RNA, 497 nt
Filed under: uncultured bacterium
Lineage: Bacteria
Description: partial 16S ribosomal RNA
Rfam family: Bacterial small subunit ribosomal RNA
Source: RNAcentral
GAUGAACGCUGGCGGCGUGCCUAAUACAUGCAAGUCGAGCGAACAGACGAGGAGCUUGCUCCUCUGACGUUAGCGGCGGACGGGUGAGUAACACGUGGAUAACCUACCUAUAAGACUGGGAUAACUUCGGGAAACCGGAGCUAAUACCGGAUAAUAUAUUGAACCGCAUGGUUCAAUAGUGAAAGACGGUUUUGCUGUCACUUAUAGAUGGAUCCGCGCUGCAUUAGCUAGUUGGUAAGGUAACGGCUUACCAAGGCAACGAUGCUUAGCCGACCUGAGAGGGUGAUCGGCCACACUGGAACUGAGACACGGUCCAGACUCCUACGGGAGGCAGCAGUAGGGAAUCUUCCGCAAUGGGCGAAAGCUUGACGGAGCAACGCCGCGUGAGUGAUGAAGGUCUUCGGAUCGUAAAACUCUGUUAUUAGGGAAGAACAAAUGUGUAAGUAACUAUGCACGUCUUGACGGUACCUAAUCAGAAAGCCACGGCUAACUACGUG